UGGGGAAUUUUGGACAAUGGGCGAAAGCCUGAUCCAGCAAUGCCGCGUGAGUGAAGAAGGCCUUCGGGUUGUAAAGCUCUUUUGUCAGGGAAGAAACGGUGAGAGCUAAUAUCUUUUGCUAAUGACGGUACCUGAAGAAUAAGCACCGGCUAACUACGUGCCAGCAGCCGCGGUAAUACGUAGGGUGCAAGCGUUAAUCGGAAUUACUGGGCGUAAAGCGUGCGCAGGCGGUUAUGCAUGACAGAUGUGAAAUCCCCGGGCUCAACCUGGGAACUGCAUUUGUGACUGCAUAGCUGGAGUGCGGCAGAGGGGGGUAGAAUUCCACGUGUAGCAGUGAAAUGCGUAGAUAUGUGGAGGAACACCGAUGGCGAAGGCAGCCCCCUGGGUCAAGAUUGACGCUCAUGCACGAAAGCGUGGGGAGCAAACA
This 427-nucleotide ribosomal RNA is filed under the name uncultured bacterium. RNAcentral describes it as "bacterial SSU rRNA". It matches the Rfam family "Bacterial small subunit ribosomal RNA", at positions 355 to 774 of the family's 1533-position model. The record is from RNAcentral.